RNAcentral lists this long non-coding RNA (1407 nucleotides) under Lupinus angustifolius (narrow-leaved blue lupine). RNAcentral's name for it is "long non-coding RNA (LANG_LNC002938)". The record is from RNAcentral. Lineage: Eukaryota; Viridiplantae; Streptophyta; Magnoliopsida; Fabales; Fabaceae.
UGUUCUUGAUAGAUUGCUAUUAACAAUGUAUUAAUUGUGCUUCCAUUUUCUUAUCUCGUCCCUAACCCUUAGGCAAGUUCUACCAUCUUUGACUUUUCAAUUUCUUCUCUUGUGAUCCAAAUCCAAAUUCAAUGCAUUCAUUCCAGCAACCUCCUCCCCCUACAACUACAUUGGACCACUACUACCACCUGCUCACAAGACGAAUCCCGAAAAUCAACACCACUUUCACCAGAUAUCUCACCCUCCUUCCUUCUCUACUUAACAAUUCCAAUAUCAUCACACUUCUUCCCCUCCCACUCACUAGCCCCCACCUCGUUAUCUUCCUCCCUCUAACCCUUAUCCCUACCAUCACAACCACAUUCCACAUCCUUAUCCUCGUGAAUAGAACACCCCAACAUUGCCUCCCAACCAACCCUAUCCCGCCAAAAGAACGAAGGGGAUUUUUAUAGUGCUAGAGAUGGAACUAGCAUUGGAGCUCCAAUUUUUUCAUUUAAACAAGGUAACCAACCAACAACUUUAUCAUUUAAUUAGAAGGAGGUUACUGGACAUCCUCUAAUUGUAGAUCUAUUUGCUUAGAUAAGAGAGUUCUUUCUUAAAUGAAAGAGGAUUUGGUGGAUAAACAUUCUUAUUCAUUCACCUUGGUUCCUAACUCACACACAACAUCAUCAAAAGCAAAAAAAAAUUAGAAAAAGAAGAAACAAUUACUUCUCUUUCUCAGUCAUCAAUAGUAGCAACACAAAUCACAAGUAACUCACCAUUAUCAUUGGAAAAUGCUGCCUCCAAGAGAUAAAACAAAGUGUCUCCUCCUAAAACUUACACAGAAAAUGAUGAAGUAGAUUUGUCCAAAGAAGUUUAGAGUGAUUUUUAAUGUGGAAUUUCGAUUGGAAAAAAAAUUAGAGAAUGAGAAAAGAGGGAUGAAUUUUGGUUAUGUAAAUACGUUUGGGAAAGAAACAAAUGCCUUGGAAAAAAUGGUUCUCGAUUGUUACUACAUGUGGGGAUGAGAAGGUGCAAUCCUAAUCAUUCAAAGAAAGCAUAAAGCAAUCUCAAUUUUUUCUCAUUUGUCAUGGAUGCUCUAUCCAUAUCAAUCCUUCUCCACAAAUAACCUUGCAACAUGUGGCCUACUCACCAUUUCCACCAUCUUUGUAGAAGAUCAAAGUUCUUGUGGAACAUAUCUUCAAAAGAUAAUGAUCUUACUAUCCAUCCUCUUCUAUACUACUAACAUGCCCUACUUUUCUCCCACAUCAUGAAACCAUUUUCAUUCAUAUCUCUUAAUUGCGUGAGAUAUUAUCGUAAGUCCUACAACUUGUACCCUCCAACAUGGGAUGCUACGCACAACUCCUCUUGACCAAUUAAACUUUUCAUAAUGGGCUCAUUCAUAUAUGAUUCUUACACUUGCAUUAGUCCUUG